Molecule: ribosomal RNA, 401 nt
Filed under: uncultured bacterium
Lineage: Bacteria
Description: bacterial SSU rRNA
Rfam family: Bacterial small subunit ribosomal RNA
Source: RNAcentral
CAACCUGCCCCCAUCAGGGGAAUAGCCCGCCGAAAGGCGGAUUAAUGCCCCAUAGGCCCAGGGCGCCGCAUGGCGCUAUGGGUAAAGCUCCGGCGGAUGGGGAUGGGGCAUGCGUGCCAUUAGCUAGUUGGGGCGGUAACGGCGCACCAAGGCGACGAUGGCUAGGGGGUCUGAGAGGAUGGUCCCCCACACUGGUACUGAGACACGGACCAGACUCCUACGGGAGGCAGCAGGUGAGGAAUAUUGGUCAAUGGGCGGAAGCCUGAACCAGCCAAUGCCGCGUGCAGGAUGACGGCCCUACGGGUUGUAAACUGCUUUUCCCCGGGAAGAAUAAGCCCCUCGUGAGGGGUGAUGCCGGUACCGGGGGAAUAAGGAUCGGCUAACUCCGUGCCAGCCGCCGC